This is a long non-coding RNA of Silurus meridionalis, 197 nucleotides long. RefSeq lists it as uncharacterized. Lineage: Eukaryota; Metazoa; Chordata; Actinopteri; Siluriformes; Siluridae. The transcript has 3 exons. The record is from RefSeq and is a predicted model, not a curated record.
UUUCCUUUCCUCUCAAAAGAUGGCUCACCAGAUCCUGGCUGUGUUUCCACAACUUCAGGCAGCAAUGACUGGCUUUUAACGAACCUUGGCAGUUUCUUCAAUUAUGCCACCUUGACAGAGCUGAAGAUUUUAAAUGCAAAUUUCUCUAGUGUUGCAGUGUUUGGUUUACUGUCCAUUGAGCAGAAGGCUCAGUUCAU